AAGAGAGUAAACAAAGGGGAACUCGCAUACUGGAUCGACACCCUCGACAUUUUUCCAACUUUUGUAAUUGAUCAUUCCAAAUAAUGUAU
This 89-nucleotide small RNA is filed under the name Arabidopsis thaliana (thale cress). Its description in RNAcentral is "ATSL029760". The record is from RNAcentral. Lineage: Eukaryota; Viridiplantae; Streptophyta; Magnoliopsida; Brassicales; Brassicaceae.